This 490-nucleotide ribosomal RNA is filed under the name uncultured bacterium. RNAcentral's name for it is "partial 16S ribosomal RNA". It matches the Rfam family "Bacterial small subunit ribosomal RNA", at positions 28 to 507 of the family's 1533-position model. The record is from RNAcentral.
GAUGAACGCUAGCUACAGGCUUAACACAUGCAAGUCGCGGGGCAGCAUGGGGGUUGCUUGCAAUCCCCGAUGGCGACCGGCGCACGGGUGAGUAACGCGUAUCCAACCUGCCCUUCACCACGGGAUAACCCGGCGAAAGUCGGACUAAUACCGUAUGUUGUCCAUUGACGGCAUCCGAUUUGGACGAAAGGUUUGGCGGUGAAGGAUGGGGAUGCGUCCGAUUAGCUGGACGGCGGGGUGACGGCCCACCGUGGCGACGAUCGGUAGGGGUUCUGAGAGGAAGGUCCCCCACACUGGAACUGAGACACGGUCCAGACUCCUACGGGAGGCAGCAGUGAGGAAUAUUGGUCAAUGGGCGUAAGCCUGAACCAGCCAAGUAGCGUGCACGAUGACGGCCCUAUGGGUCGUAAACUGCUUUUAUGCGGGGAUAAAGUGGCCCACGUGUGGGUUUUUGCAGGUACCGCAUGAAUAAGGACCGGCUAAUUCCGUG